GAACAGAAAAGAAAGAUAAAAACAUCUUCAAAUUUUAUUCCAACACAAACACCCAACAACACGAUAACACCAACACAACAUAACAAGUUAACAACAUAAUCUCAAACCAAAAAAACCUAAAAACAUAAACUAAAAGUCUAAAACAAAAAAAACAUUAAUUUUUCCAAAAUAUUAAAAAACAGAUUUUUAUUUUCUAGAGAGAGAAAGAAUAGUAGAGACGUAAACAAAGACUCUUUUAAUUUUCUCAAAUUCAUUUUCAUUUCUUCUUUAUCCAUUUACCAAUUCUAAUCUCUUUUUUCUUUCUCUCUCUAACUUAUUUUCUCUCUCCUCAGAUCUUCUUCACCCGUUACUCCGGCGAUUCCUCUGCAAAUUUUGGGUUCAACCCACUUCCCUAAUCGUCUUUCUUGUUCCAUAUCUUCAUCGUACAUAACAUGUUUAACGUUUUCAUAUCAUAAAGUUUCAUUCUUUUGUUUUUUUAAGGUUUUUGAUUUUUUGUGAUUAGUUUAAUCAUUGUUAUUUAAUUUGUGAUUAUUAGUAGUAUCAAUAUCAAAAUCAUUGUUUAUAUUUUAGAGAAAACGAGAAGAAAAAAAAAGGGUUGUUGAUUGAUUGAAGAAAAAGAAAAUUGUGAAAACAAAAUUCCCCUUUUUUUGUCGUUUGGUGGUUUUUUGUUUUUUAGUGCCUCCAAACAAAAAAUUGGGAAAAAAAAUGAACAAAUUUGAUCUGGGGUUGUUGUGAAUUUUGUGGCUGUGAUUGAAAUUUGGAAACUUUAGGCUUUGAAAAAGAAAAGUUUGAAACUUUAGGGUGUGGAGAAAGAAUUGAAGAUACACGUGUGAACGUGGUUGUUGUCGUUGUUGUUGGUGGUGGAUUGAAAGGGAAGAGAAUUUGGGGGUGUUAUGAUUGAAGGUGAAUUUGAAGAAUCAUUGAUAAUUGGGUUGUGGAUUAGUGGUAAUUUGGUUUCUUUGAUUUAUGGGGAUGAGGAAUGAUGGACACAAACAACAGCUUCUUCAUCACCCAGGUGGUGUUGGAGUUGGAGUUGGUGGUGGUGGUGGAAGAACCAAUGGUUUCAUACCUAGCUCGUUUCGCGCUAUUUCAAGCUACUUGAGGAUUGUUUCCUCGGGUGCUUCCACGGUUGCACGCUCUGCUGCAUCGGUUGCUUCAUCGAUUGUUGAUAGGGAAGAUGUUGCUGAUCAUGAUCAGGUUAUUUGGGCUGGUUUUGAUAAGUUGGAGGGUGAGGGCGAUACCGUUCAACAAGUACUUCUUCUAGGCUAUCGGUCUGGCUUCCAAGUUUGGCAUGUUGAUGAAUCAAAUAAUGUCCGGGACAUGGUUUCCAAACACGACGGUCCCGUUUCUUUUAUGCAAAUGGUUCCAAAUCCAAUUGCAUCAAAAAAAUCAGAAGACAAAUUUGCAAGCAGCCGCCCGUUGUUGGUCGUUUGUGCUGCCGAUGGACUCUUCGGAGGAGGAAGCAAUACUAAGGAUGGAUUGACUGGUCCUCUCAAUGGAACUUCAAACUCUCAUGAUCAAAUGAAUGGCAACUAUAUGCCAACUAGUGUUCAGUUUUAUUCUAUGAAAUCCCAUUCAUAUGUUCAUGUAAUGAAGUUUAGAUCCGUUGUUUAUUCCGUAAGGUGCAGUUCUCGAAUAGUUGCCGUUUCUCAAUCCACUCAGAUACAUUGUUUCAAUGCUACCACAUUAGAAAGGGAAUAUACUUUACUUACUAAUCCAAUAGUGAUGACUUGUCCUGGUUCCGGAGGCAUAGGAUACGGACCGCUUGCGGUGGGUCCAAGAUGGCUGGCUUAUAGUGGAAGUCCAGUUGCAAUCUCCACUUCCAGCCAUGUCAGCCCGCAGCACUUGACACCUUCUGCAAGCUUUCCUGGUUUUUCUUCAAAUGGAAGCAUGAUUGCGCACUAUGCCAAAGAAUCAAGCAAGCAUCUUGCUACUGGGAUUGUUACCCUUGGAGAUAUGGGAUAUAAAAAACUUUCUAGAUACUGUUCUGAAAACAAUGGUUCACUACAAUCUGUAAAUUCUGGAUCAAAGGUCAAUGGAAACAUUAACGGCCAUUCGGCUGAUUUAGAUAACAUUGGAAUGGUCAUUGUUAAAGAUAUUGUCACUAAAAACGUUGUUGCCCAAUUCCGAGCACAGAAAAGUCCAAUUUCAGCUUUAUGCUUUGAUCCUAGUGGCACCUUAUUAGUGACCGCUUCUGUUCAGGGUCAUAACAUAAAUGUUUUUAAGAUAAUGCCUAUGCGUGAGAAUUCGUUAGCAUCUGAUGCCGGUCCUUCCCACGUUCAUUUAUACAGGCUGCAACGCGGUUUUACAAAUGCGGUUAUACAAGAUAUUAGUUUUAGUGCUGACAGCAAGUGGAUUAUGAUUAGUUCCUCGAGGGGCACUAGUCAUCUAUUUGCAAUAAAUCCUCAAGGAGGAUAUGUAAAUAUUCAGUCGAAUGAUGAUACAAAAAAUAGUGGAUUAAGCACUACGACUAAUCAAGUAGUUCGCCGGGAUCCUAUGGCAGCUGUACAAAUGCCUAAACAGCAGAGCCUGUAUGUAGCCGGCCCUCCAAUUACACUUUCUGUAGUAAGCAGAAUUAGGAAUGGAACUAACGGUUGGAGAGGUACGGUAAGUGGUGCUGCUGCAGCUGCAGCCGGUAGGAAGAGUUCCCUUUCUGGGGCUAUUGCUUCGUCUUUCCGUAAUUGUAAAGGAAAUGGAUUGCUAUAUCGUGAAGGGAACAAUUCCAAGGCAAAUCAUCACUUGUUAGUCUUUUCACCUAGUGGAUCGAUGAUUCAAUACGCUCUUCGGACAAUAAAUGGUCAAGAUUCGGCUGUUGUUUCUGGAUUAUCUCCUGCUUAUGAAUCCAAUCCACAGGCCGAUGCAAGAUUAGUAGUUGAGGCCAUGCAUAAAUGGAAUAUAUGUCAUAGUCAUAGUCGCAGAGAGCGAGAAGAUAAUGUUGACAUAUAUGGCGAAAAUGGAAUUUCAGACAGCAGCAAAAUAUAUCCGGAGGAAGUAGAGGAGAACAUCAUUAAUCCUAAAAUAAACAAUGGUGUAAUAAAAGCGAAUCCCUCUCUCAAGGAACAGCAUCAUUUGUAUAUUUCAGAAGCUGAACUACAAAUGCAUCAAACUCAGAUUCCAUUGUGGGCAAAGCCAGAGAUAUAUUUUAAUUCAAUGUUGAAAGAGUCGACCAUAAUGGAUGAAGAAGAUGCUUCAGGAGAAUUUGAGAUUGAAAGAAUUCCCACUAGCAUGAUUGAAGCUAGACCAAAAGACUUGGUUCCAAUUUUCAAUUAUAUGCAGACUCCAAAAUUUCAACAAACAAGGGCUCCUGCUAUGGAUAAAAAGAUAAAUGGACAAGUGUUGCACCACGGUUCUGAGCCGUAUGGAAAUGGAAGGAUAUCACCUAGGAGUAUUUCGGGAUCUCUCGAGGGCAUGAAUAAUUCUGAUGGUGAAGUUAAUGAACAUAAAAGUCAAAUAGAAGGAACUGAAUGGGAUAAUCAUGUGAUGCCAUCAGAAACUAUUGGCUUUGUAAAUAACAAUGACACCCUUAAACCAAAUACUCAGCAGCAUGAGAUUGUAAAUAAUAGAAGAGAGCACUUAAGCAUGGGGGCUCGUCUCAUGCAUGUAAAUAGCGACAAAAGGCCUGAAGAUGAGCAUCAUUUUGAAGAAGAAAAUGAAGAUGAAUCUGAUUGAAGGUAAUCUAUCCAUUAACAUUUUGAAGAAAAUGAAGAUGUAUCUGAUUGAAGAUUUCUGCACAAGACAAACAAAGACCGGUAAAAGAGGAUUUAGUUACUUGUGUUUGAUUUUUUGGGGUCCUUUUUGAUUCAGGCAUGGAAAUAUUCUUUGAUUUGGCAUUGGAGGCUUAAUUAACAAUGUUUAUAUAAUGGUGGAAGAGGUAGAGAAGCUUGAGGAGUAGUGGAUAUUGACUACUAUGGAAAGUUGUGGAUACUGCUUUCAGUUUCUUUUUCUGUGUGACAUUGUAAAUGACAGACAGAAUUUGUAUAUCAAUAAUUAGUUUUCAAUUUGUAAAUAAUAGAAUCAUUACUUUGUCUC
Trifolium pratense (red clover) is the source of this 4029-nucleotide RNA transcript. It is a transcript of the gene named autophagy-related protein 18f, with no coding region annotated. The transcript has 8 exons. The record is from RefSeq and is a predicted model, not a curated record. NCBI's taxonomy places the organism in Eukaryota, Viridiplantae, Streptophyta, Magnoliopsida, Fabales, Fabaceae.